Long non-coding RNA from Nicotiana attenuata, 829 nucleotides. RefSeq lists it as uncharacterized. The record is from RefSeq and is a predicted model, not a curated record. Lineage: Eukaryota; Viridiplantae; Streptophyta; Magnoliopsida; Solanales; Solanaceae. The transcript is spliced from 2 exons.
UUCACCAUGGUCAGAAGGUGUAUGCCUAUUUUGAGCUAAGAUCGUCCUUCCUUUUGGGUUGCCUUGGUAUUCUAAUGUCGUUUUUCCUUUCUAAGUCUAAAAGGACGUGGAAUCCCUUUUGUUUCAGACCAAAUCUCACUACAUCAAGAAAAAAUCUGAAGCAAAUCACCAAGACAGAUAUUCAAUUUCAAACGGCUAAAUUUUCAGAAAUCAAAGCCACACCCGUGACUUCUUCCCUUUUGAAAUUUGAAAAAUCCUAACUCUAAAUCUCUCCACCUAUAAAUACUUUCUAAAGGUCACAACCGUGAGGGGAGGGAAAAAGAGGCGAGCGGCAACCAUUUCCUGAGAAUUCGAGAUUUUUUAGUCACCUACAUCACUCAACUGAGCCGCUGCUCCACACCCUAAAAACACUACUCUUCUUCUCUUCACCACUGUUAUUGUCUCAAAAAAAAAAUCUAAAUCUUUUCGGUGAACUUUGACCGUGACAGAUCAUUCCGAUCGAGGUUCGAAUCUUUUCAUAACGAGAGAGUAGAUUCGAGACCACCACCGACCCAGUUCACUGCUCCCAAACAAAUCCAGGUACCUCCUACCAGUCUAGGCAUCAUUGAGUUGAGUUUGUACAUGGAGACUUCAAGGUACACUUGCCAGCGUCCGCAGGCCUUGGAGUCACCCUCUAUCUACUUUUAUAUAUUCCUUCUUUUACUAGUUACAGUUGUAUAGGGGUGACUAUUAUGUCGUUGUAGAGCUUGUGACUCGAUAUCACCAGGUUUUGGGAAAAUUGUAUAUGUUGAGCAGCGGAGUUUAUUUUAUAUAUUUGUUGAGUAUUUGA